CACCAGACUCCUACGGGAGGCAGCAGUGGGGAAUAUUGCACAAUGGGGGAAACCCUGAUGCAGCGACGCCGCGUGAGUGAAGAAGUAAUUCGUUAUGUAAAGCUCUAUCAGCAGGGAAGAAAAUGACGGUACCUGAGUAAGAAGCCCCGGCUAACUACGUGCCAGCAGCCGCGGUAAUACGUAGGGGGCAAGCGUUAUCCGGAUUUACUGGGUGUAAAGGGAGCGUAGACGGCAGUGCAAGUCUGGAGUGAAAGGCGGGGGCUCAACCCCCGGACUGCUCUGGAAACUGUACGGCUGGAGUGCAGGAGAGGUAAGUGGAAUUCCUAGUGUAGCGGUGAAAUGCGUAGAUAUUAGGAGGAACACCGGUGGCGAAGGCGGCCUGCUGGACUGUGACUGACGUUGAGGCCCGAAGGCGUGGGGAGCAAGCAGGAUUAGAUACCCCCGUAA
This 447-nucleotide ribosomal RNA is filed under the name uncultured bacterium. RNAcentral's name for it is "bacterial SSU rRNA". It matches the Rfam family "Bacterial small subunit ribosomal RNA", at positions 329 to 793 of the family's 1533-position model. The record is from RNAcentral.